Molecule: ribosomal RNA, 509 nt
Filed under: uncultured Acidobacteriota bacterium
Lineage: Bacteria; Pseudomonadati; Acidobacteriota
Description: bacterial SSU rRNA
Rfam family: Bacterial small subunit ribosomal RNA
Source: RNAcentral
UGGGGAAUUGUUCGCAAUGGGCGCAAGCCUGACGACGCAACGCCGCGUGGAGGAUGAAGGUCUUCGGAUUGUAAACUCCUGUUGCCCGGGACGAAUGGCUCCAACCUAAUACGUUGGAGUGUGACGGUACCGGGUGAGGAAGCCCCGGCUAACUCUGUGCCAGCAGCCGCGGUAAUACAGAGGGGGCAAGCGUUGUUCGGAAUUACUGGGCGUAAAGGGCGCGUAGGCGGCCUGCUAAGUCGAACGUGAAAUCCCUGGGCUCAACCCAGGAACUGCGUCCGAUACUGGUUGGCUUGAAUCCGGGAGAGGGAUGUGGAAUUCCAGGUGUAGCGGUGAAAUGCGUAGAUAUCUGGAGGAACACCGGUGGCGAAGGCGACAUCCUGGACCGGUAUUGACGCUGAGGCGCGAAAGCCAGGGGAGCAAACGGGAUUAGAUACCCGGUAGUCCUGGCCCUAAACGAUGAAUGCUUGGUGUGGCGGGUAUCGAUCCCUGCCGUGCCGAAGCUAACG